RNAcentral lists this ribosomal RNA (486 nucleotides) under Stenotrophomonas rhizophila. Its description in RNAcentral is "bacterial SSU rRNA". It matches the Rfam family "Bacterial small subunit ribosomal RNA", at positions 76 to 557 of the family's 1533-position model. The record is from RNAcentral. Lineage: Bacteria; Pseudomonadati; Pseudomonadota; Gammaproteobacteria; Lysobacterales; Lysobacteraceae.
GAGCUUGCUCUCUGGGUGGCGAGUGGCGGACGGGUGAGGAAUACAUCGGAAUCUACCUUUUCGUGGGGGAUAACGUAGGGAAACUUACGCUAAUACCGCAUACGACCUUCGGGUGAAAGCAGGGGACCUUCGGGCCUUGCGCGGAUAGAUGAGCCGAUGUCGGAUUAACUAGUUGGCGGGGUAAAGGCCCACCAAGGCGACGAUCCGUAGCUGGUCUGAGAGGAUGAUCAGCCACACUGGAACUGAGACACGGUCCAGACUCCUACGGGAGGCAGCAGUGGGGAAUAUUGGACAAUGGGCGCAAGCCUGAUCCAGCCAUACCGCGUGGGUGAAGAAGGCCUUCGGGUUGUAAAGCCCUUUUGUUGGGAAAGAAAAGCAGCCAGUUAAUACCUGGUUGUUCUGACGGUACCCAAAGAAUAAACACCGGCUAACUUCGUGCCACAGCCGCGGUAAUACGAAGGGUGCAAGCGUUCUCGGAAUUACUGG